AGGGCACAAGUAAUACUUUAGUUCCAGCUUAUUCUUUACAUAGUAGCUUACACCCUCACUUAACCAAAUACAAGCUAGUAGAUUAAGUGGUCUACCACGUGCAUAUGCACACGUACUGAUAGCACCUCCUCUUAUUCUUCACUGACUUUAUUUAAGGAUUAAACAAAGACUUCUAAUUUUUGACACCCUGGCCUAGGUGUUGACUUAUUCCUCAAGCUCCUCUAACUCCUCACCAUGCCCACUUCCCGCGCACUCUGUGCAUAUCAAAGGGAAAAGAAAAACAGUAGUGAGUAUGUUGGGACAUACUCCCUCCGUCCGAAAAUACUUGUCGGAGAAAUGCAUAAAAAUGAAUGUAUCUAAAACUAAAAUACAUCUAGAUGCAUUCAUUCCUCCGACAAGUAUUUCCGGACGGAGGGAGUACUCAGCAAGAAUAUAAGAAUGCAAGAAUUAGUAGGUUGCAAGUUGAAUGUUCAUAAGGUAAAGAUACUUCAGCCUCCUGUUACCUUACAGGAGCAGGAUGGAAUUAUACCGGCGCAAACCUAUAGCAAUAAUCUCUGCAGAGACAUACUAAUAACCGUCGUAAUCUCCACCAAUGGUAAUACCUAUCUCCGGGAAUCACGACGCCGAGUCCCCUACUUGUGUGAGGCAUCUUCCAUCUCACACUAGUACCGACUAAAUUAGCCGCGUACCGUUAUAUCAGGUAUCGACCGCCCCGGGCUUGAUAUACCAUACUUACCAUGAUCACGACGGUGUACGUUCUUGAAUUGUUCAAACAUCGUCGUUUGAUCAAUCCGUAACCCAUGCACGGAUGGUUCUCACAGCCAUAAUAAUUACCAGCUCAUCACUUAUAUUCAUAUGUAAAAACAUUAAUGCUAGUAACCAAUUAAUUUGUUAACAUAUAUUAGAAGUUCAGUUUGAGGGAGAAGACUGAUAUGCACAGUCUUGCCUUGCAGUUCCUCCUCGGCUAAUUUUAAGCUCCAACUUAAACAUGUUACAAACGCCCAUCAGCUUAUUAUUUCAUGUGACUUGCAAGUGGCAACAGGGACAUGAGCAGCUAUAUGCAGUGGAUGUAACAAGUCGCUCUAUAGUACUCCCUCCGUCCCAAAAUUCUUGUCUUAGGUUUGUCUAGAUAUGUAUGUAUCUAACACUAAAACUUAACUAGAUACAUCCGUAUUUAGACAAAUAUAAGACAAGAAUUUUGGGACGGAGGGAGUACUUGGCUAUGCUAGAGUGAGGCGUGCACAUCCCACUUUAACCUUAGUACUGUUUCCAGCUAUUAAAUUUGAGAAAUACAACCACUUGCAUGCAUGCUAGCUAGCCAUGAAGAUUAUUUCUUUGCACAGGAUAUGUACGCAUGCAUGGGUCAUGUAGUACUAGUACUACUUGUUCCCACUCUUUCUUACCAACUAGUACUAGUUGUUGCUUCUUAAGCCAGCGAAUAAAUUCAUCAGUGUAACAAAGCAUGGAUCAACAAAAUGGAAUCCGUCCGAUGCAACUUCCAGUAUUUUAGAAUCUUGAUUAUCCAUCUAUCUCCUACCAGCGCUAAGCAAGAACAUCACAUCAGAUGUAGGAAAGAAAGAACAAGUAGCCUUUAUGGAGAGAGAUGCUAGCUAGAGAUAUCCCAAAGAAUCUGAGAUAGCUUCAUAGGACAAGACCAUGGAUAGAGCGUGGACUAAAGCUAGCAGGCCAUACCUCCUGGUUCCCUAAUCUCUCCUAGUCCUCUCCGUCCGGUCGCGGUCCUUCGGCUGCUAUCAACUGGGGUGGAGA
Molecule: long non-coding RNA, 1767 nt
Filed under: Triticum aestivum (bread wheat)
Lineage: Eukaryota; Viridiplantae; Streptophyta; Magnoliopsida; Poales; Poaceae
Description: long non-coding RNA (TAES_LNC023369)
Rfam family: MIR1120/MIR1122 microRNA precursor family (bases 1085-1219)
Source: RNAcentral